UACGAAGGGGGCUAGCGUUGCUCGGAAUUACUGGGCGUAAAGGGCGCGUAGGCGGCUCGGCACGUCCGUUGUGAAAUCGCCCGGCUCAACUGGGCGGGGUCAGCGGAUACGGCCGAGCUUGAGCAAGCUAGGGGGCAAUGGAAUUCCCGGUGUAGUGGUGGAAUGCGUAGAUAUCGGGAGGAACACCAGUGGCGAAGGCGGUUGCCUGGGGCUUUGCUGACGCUGAUGCGCGAAAGCGUGGGGAGCGAACAGG
RNAcentral lists this ribosomal RNA (253 nucleotides) under uncultured bacterium. RNAcentral describes it as "partial 16S ribosomal RNA". It matches the Rfam family "Bacterial small subunit ribosomal RNA", at positions 524 to 776 of the family's 1533-position model. The record is from RNAcentral.